Podarcis lilfordi (Lilford's wall lizard) is the source of this 78-nucleotide non-coding RNA. The record is from the annotation of a GenBank genome assembly. Lineage: Eukaryota; Metazoa; Chordata; Lepidosauria; Squamata; Lacertidae.
GGGCGGUAGCUCAGUGGCAGAGUGUCUGCUUUUGCGUGCAGAAGGUCCCAGGUUCAAUGGCAUCUCCAGGUAGGUCUG